AGGGUAAUAGCUCAGUGGUAGAAUGUGUGCUUAGCCUGCACGAGGUCCUGGGUUCAAUCCCCAGUACCUCCA
Molecule: transfer RNA, 72 nt
Organism: Camelus ferus (Wild Bactrian camel)
Lineage: Eukaryota; Metazoa; Chordata; Mammalia; Artiodactyla; Camelidae
Rfam family: tRNA
About the family: Transfer RNA (tRNA) molecules are approximately 80 nucleotides in length. Their secondary structure includes four short double-helical elements and three loops (D, anti-codon, and T loops).
Source: Rfam